RNAcentral lists this ribosomal RNA (207 nucleotides) under uncultured bacterium. Its description in RNAcentral is "partial 16S ribosomal RNA". It matches the Rfam family "Bacterial small subunit ribosomal RNA", at positions 568 to 774 of the family's 1533-position model. The record is from RNAcentral.
UGCGCAGGCUGUGGAGUAAGUCGGAUGUGAAAUUUAGAGGCUCAACCUCUAAACUGCAUUCGAUACUGCUUCGCUAGAGGACUGUAGAGGAGAUUGGAAUUCACGGUGUAGCAGUGAAAUGCGUAGAUAUCGUGAGGAAGACCAGUGGCGAAGGCGAAUCUCUGGGCAGUUCCUGACGCUCAUGCACGAAGGCCAGGGGAGCAAACG